Mercurialis annua (annual mercury) is the source of this 615-nucleotide long non-coding RNA. RefSeq lists it as uncharacterized. The transcript is spliced from 2 exons. NCBI's taxonomy places the organism in Eukaryota, Viridiplantae, Streptophyta, Magnoliopsida, Malpighiales, Euphorbiaceae. The record is from RefSeq and is a predicted model, not a curated record.
AUAGCGGAAGUUGCUCGAUCUCUCAAAGGUCUACGAUGGCUAUCAAGGGUCGUAACAUCUUCGUUGAAGAUUUGUCCUUAGAUGGAGCUCUUGUACUCCAAGCUGUUGAUGAGGCAGAGGUAAAGGUAGGAGGUUCAUUGCAGAAAAAGGGAUGGAAUUUGGAUCCUUGAAAAUAUAUACUACAAAGAUACUUGAAUACCUGAAGAGUUAAGGAUUAGAGGCUUCAGAAUCAAAAAGGACGAGCAACUUGAGAAAUGUUACAGCGAGCCUGGCAAAUUUGACUUGAAGGCUUGAAGGUGAAGUUAAAUAUCUUGUCGAGUUUAUUUAAUUUACUAGAUUAUGCUCAUAUAAUUAAUGUCAAGCCAUGAAUAAUACCUCCUGUUGAGCUUUUGUAAUUUACUUUGGGAGAUAUAUAGUUGUUAAUUAGAUAAAAUGAGGUAAUAUAGCUUUUUGGUGAAAAUGGUGGGUCUUUUAGAUGUUUUCUUCAACUAUUUUUAGGGGGCUUCGAUCCUUCUAAAAUUCUUUUUUUCUACUCUUAGAAGAAUAAUUACACCAAAUAUUCGUUGUAUGCAUAAUAAUUAAUAAACUAUGUGUAAUAACAUAUUCCUUCUUUAA